Molecule: ribosomal RNA, 1376 nt
Filed under: Kocuria rosea
Lineage: Bacteria; Bacillati; Actinomycetota; Actinomycetes; Micrococcales; Micrococcaceae
Description: bacterial SSU rRNA
Rfam family: Bacterial small subunit ribosomal RNA
Source: RNAcentral
UGCAGUCGAACGAUGAUGCCCAGCUUGCUGGGCGGAUUAGUGGCGAACGGGUGAGUAAUACGUGAGUAACCUGCCCUUGACUCUGGGAUAAGCCUGGGAAACUGGGUCUAAUACUGGAUACUACCUCUUACCGCAUGGUGGGUGGUGGAAAGGGUUUUACUGGUUUUGGAUGGGCUCACGGCCUAUCAGCUUGUUGGUGGGGUAAUGGCUCACCAAGGCGACGACGGGUAGCCGGCCUGAGAGGGUGACCGGCCACACUGGGACUGAGACACGGCCCAGACUCCUACGGGAGGCAGCAGUGGGGAAUAUUGCACAAUGGGCGGAAGCCUGAUGCAGCGACGCCGCGUGAGGGAUGACGGCCUUCGGGUUGUAAACCUCUUUCAGUAGGGAAGAAGCGAGAGUGACGGUACCUGCAGAAGAAGCGCCGGCUAACUACGUGCCAGCAGCCGCGGUAAUACGUAGGGCGCAAGCGUUGUCCGGAAUUAUUGGGCGUAAAGAGCUCGUAGGCGGUUUGUCGCGUCUGCUGUGAAAGCCCGGGGCUCAACCCCGGGUCUGCAGUGGGUACGGGCAGACUAGAGUGCAGUAGGGGAGACUGGAAUUCCUGGUGUAGCGGUGAAAUGCGCAGAUAUCAGGAGGAACACCGAUGGCGAAGGCAGGUCUCUGGGCUGUUACUGACGCUGAGGAGCGAAAGCAUGGGGAGCGAACAGGAUUAGAUACCCUGGUAGUCCAUGCCGUAAACGUUGGGCACUAGGUGUGGGGGACAUUCCACGUUUUCCGCGCCGUAGCUAACGCAUUAAGUGCCCCGCCUGGGGAGUACGGCCGCAAGGCUAAAACUCAAAGGAAUUGACGGGGGCCCGCACAAGCGGCGGAGCAUGCGGAUUAAUUCGAUGCAACGCGAAGAACCUUACCAAGGCUUGACAUUCACCGGACCGCCCCAGAGAUGGGGUUUCCCUUCGGGGCUGGUGGACAGGUGGUGCAUGGUUGUCGUCAGCUCGUGUCGUGAGAUGUUGGGUUAAGUCCCGCAACGAGCGCAACCCUCGUUCUAUGUUGCCAGCACGUGAUGGUGGGGACUCAUAGGAGACUGCCGGGGUCAACUCGGAGGAAGGUGGGGAUGACGUCAAAUCAUCAUGCCCCUUAUGUCUUGGGCUUCACGCAUGCUACAAUGGCCGGUACAAAGGGUUGCGAUACUGUGAGGUGGAGCUAAUCCCAAAAAGCCGGUCUCAGUUCGGAUUGAGGUCUGCAACUCGACCUCAUGAAGUCGGAGUCGCUAGUAAUCGCAGAUCAGCAACGCUGCGGUGAAUACGUUCCCGGGCCUUGUACACACCGCCCGUCAAGUCACGAAAGUUGGUAACACCCGAAGCCGGUGGCCUAACCCC